GCCUGUGUAGCUCAGUAGGUAGAGCGCCCGGCUUUUAACCGUGUGGUCGUGGGUUCGAGCCCCACCAUAGGUG
Fistulifera solaris is the source of this 73-nucleotide transfer RNA. It matches the Rfam family "tRNA". Rfam says of the family: Transfer RNA (tRNA) molecules are approximately 80 nucleotides in length. Their secondary structure includes four short double-helical elements and three loops (D, anti-codon, and T loops). The record is from Rfam. Lineage: Eukaryota; Bacillariophyta; Bacillariophyceae; Naviculales; Stauroneidaceae.